AAAUGUUGUAUAUAAGUUUGAUUGUAAAACCUGCCCUGCAACAUAUAUUGGCGAGACGAAACGAUCUUUACUAACUCGCAUAAACGAACAUAAAAAAGUGAAUGACAACUCUGUAGUGUACCGACAUUGUAUCAAUUUCAAUCAUGAUUUUGAUUGGGAAAAUGUGAAGGUUUUGGACAAUGAAAAAAAUUUUAUAAAACGACGAAUAUCGGAAAUGAUCCACAUAAAAACAAAUCAUUCCACUAUUAACAGAAAAGAAGAUAUUCUCACUCUAAAUAAAACGUUCUUUCCUCUUUUCAGACGUAUAGACUCAUGUCCAUAAUGACAAAACAAUAACAUAUCUUGCUGACCACCUGUGUUUACAUAUCAGUUCAUUGACUCUUUUAGUUUUCAUAGUUUUGACUUUCUUAUCUCAGUUUCUAAUUUUAUUUCAGUUGACACUGAGUCGUUGUAGAGGAAUGUCUCCUUUUCUUCUAUAUAAUUAUAAAUUUAAUCUCUUGUGUGGAAUAUGUGUCGUGUUUUGUUUUUUAAUUUAUUUAUUUAUUUAUUUAAUUUUUAUUCUUCAUGACGAACUAAAAUAGUGUUUUUAUGUUUUAAUGAAUUAGCCUGAUGAGGUUGGCAAACCUUAGCCAACGAAACGUCGCAUUACUGACGAAA
Molecule: long non-coding RNA, 657 nt
Organism: Leptopilina heterotoma
Lineage: Eukaryota; Metazoa; Arthropoda; Insecta; Hymenoptera; Figitidae
Exons: 2
Source: RefSeq, a predicted model, not a curated record